AUGCUCGCUUCAGCAGCCCAUAUACUAAAAAACUGGAACCAUACAGAGAAGAUUAGCAUGGCCCCGAGCAAGGAUGACACGCAAACUCAUGAAGAAAAAAAAAAAAAA
Small nuclear RNA from Nycticebus coucang (slow loris), 108 nucleotides. Lineage: Eukaryota; Metazoa; Chordata; Mammalia; Primates; Lorisidae. The record is from RefSeq and is a predicted model, not a curated record.